CUACCCCACGAGUCUGGAAUAACCUGCCGAAAGGCGGGCUAAUACUGGAUAGAGCGAUGGAAUCCGUAAUUGGGUUUUUCGGGAAAGGGAGGAAGCAAUUCCCUUUGCUUUGGGAUGAGCCUGCGUCUCAUUAGCUAGUUGGUGAGGUAAUAGCUCACCAAGGCUUUGAUGGGUAGCUGGUCUGAGAGGAUGAUCAGCCACACUGGAACUGAAACACGGUCCAG
This 224-nucleotide ribosomal RNA is filed under the name uncultured bacterium. RNAcentral's name for it is "partial 16S ribosomal RNA". It matches the Rfam family "Bacterial small subunit ribosomal RNA", at positions 126 to 334 of the family's 1533-position model. The record is from RNAcentral.